RNAcentral lists this long non-coding RNA (364 nucleotides) under Zonotrichia albicollis (white-throated sparrow). RNAcentral's name for it is "lncRNA (ENSZALG00000005883.1)". Lineage: Eukaryota; Metazoa; Chordata; Aves; Passeriformes; Passerellidae. The record is from RNAcentral.
GUGGGUCUGUCACUCCUCAACACCUUCCCCUGCUCCCUCCGGCCAGGCUGGGCAUGGCUGCUGCCAGGGCAGGGAGCUCAGUCCUCAGAGCAAGGUGCCAGGCUGCCAAGGUGCCAGGCUGGGGGACAAGGGACAAAGGUCCUGGAGGCACAGAGCAGGGUGUUUGUUAUGGGGCACAGAGCAGGGGGCUGGUUAUGGGGCACAAAGCAGGGUGUUUGUUAUGGGGCACAGAAAGGGUGUUGUGGGGCACAGAGCAGGGUGUUGUGGGGCACAGAGCAGGGUGUUUGUUAUGGGGCACAGAGCAGGGUGUUUGUUAUGGGGCACAGAGCAGGGUGUUAUGGGGCACAGAGCAGGGUGUUAUGGG